RNAcentral lists this transfer RNA (87 nucleotides) under Escherichia coli. Its description in RNAcentral is "tRNA-Leu". It matches the Rfam family "tRNA". Rfam says of the family: Transfer RNA (tRNA) molecules are approximately 80 nucleotides in length. Their secondary structure includes four short double-helical elements and three loops (D, anti-codon, and T loops). RNAcentral also lists the same sequence under 1 other name. Lineage: Bacteria; Pseudomonadati; Pseudomonadota; Gammaproteobacteria; Enterobacterales; Enterobacteriaceae. The record is from RNAcentral.
GCCCGGAUGGUGGAAUCGGUAGACACAAGGGAUUUAAAAUCCCUCGGCGUUCGCGCUGUGUGGGUUCAAAUCCCACUCCGGGUACCA